RNAcentral lists this ribosomal RNA (117 nucleotides) under Nannospalax galili (Upper Galilee mountains blind mole rat). The record is from RNAcentral. Lineage: Eukaryota; Metazoa; Chordata; Mammalia; Rodentia; Spalacidae.
GUCUAUGGCCAUACCACCCUGAAUGCACUUGAUCUCACCUGAUCAAAGAAGCUAAGGAGGGUUGGGCUUGGUUAAUACUUGGAUGGGAGACCACACUACCUGGCUCAGGACCUGGCA